AGCGUUGCACAAUGGCAGUAUCAUAGCCAAUGAGGUUUAUCUGAGGCGCGAUUAUUGCUAAUUGAAAACAUUUGCUGAAUGCUUUCUAUAUACCAGGCAUGAAAUCAGUACCCUCUUUAUGCCUGUUACACAUAUGAGAAAAAUGGAGCUUGGUUGUGAUGCUAG
Oryctolagus cuniculus (rabbit) is the source of this 165-nucleotide small nuclear RNA. Its record names the gene U4. It matches the Rfam family "U4 spliceosomal RNA". Rfam says of the family: U4 small nuclear RNA (U4 snRNA) is a component of the major U2-dependent spliceosome. The structure of U4 snRNA from yeast and human has been reported. NCBI's taxonomy places the organism in Eukaryota, Metazoa, Chordata, Mammalia, Lagomorpha, Leporidae. The record is from Ensembl.